RNAcentral lists this long non-coding RNA (1415 nucleotides) under Megachile rotundata (alfalfa leafcutting bee). Its description in RNAcentral is "uncharacterized LOC105664398, transcript variant X1". The record is from RNAcentral. Lineage: Eukaryota; Metazoa; Arthropoda; Insecta; Hymenoptera; Megachilidae.
AAUAACGGAAAUUCCGGUUUUUAACGAACAUGUUCAAUAUCCUCUUUUUCAACCAACUUCCGGUUCAUAGUCAAGUGACAUCCUGUAAAAGUUUAGAGCCAUACAAACAUCCAGCAGUUAAGUUAACAAGAAUCACUUACUAUUUUAUUAAAGAACUUAUAAAUGAAUACAGUCGUAUCCUGCGCUUCUAAUGGUUCUAGAAUAGCUGACGUAAGGCAAAUGGUGGGAUGCUUGCUUUAUACAAAAAGUUAUCAGAAAGAAGCUUAUAUUUACAUUGCACCCGAGUUUCUGAUUGCAUAUCAAUAAAUCCAUAAACCUGUCUCAUCGUACAACAAGCAACAAUUUAACGUAUUUUAUGAAUUUCGAUACUUCAAACCAUCAGGUACGUUCUCUGCACCUCUUUCUCUUUCUUCUUUCUUUUACGAAUUUGUUCUUUUCAACCCGAUAGCAUGAUUUAUUUCCUUUAUCGGCACCAGCAGUAACUGCCGGGCCGAAGGACAACAACCGUGCGGAGACGAUGAAAGCGCAAACAGUCUCUCCCUCCUCUUUGAUAGACUGAUUGUGAGACCGAACGAUGGUGAUGGAAAGUGGCGCAGGUUAGGCGCCAUCUGCAAUGCCAAUUCUGAUUCUGGUAUCCACGCAGUUCUCGCACAUCUUUGCUUCCUUUUCUCCUGCAGCCCUCAAAUGAACUACAUUGCGUACAUAAUUUAUGUACUUUUUCAAGCAUAAAGCAAUACUUCAUGAUCAAUAGAAUCGUGAUUAAGAUCAUGACGAGUCACUUAUUCAGAGGAGAAAUUGACUUACAAGCUACUCGUAUAAUAUAAAAGAUACCGGUUUUUAAUCGUGCUAUUUAUACUUAUUUUAUAUUAUCACAGGAGAUUAAUAAUUACUUUUAGAUAGCGGGUCAAGUAUCUCCUCUUACGAGUGAAGAGUCUCCCUAAAUGUACAAAUGCAAAGUAUGAUAUGAAAAAUAUGCGAGCCAUGUUGUAUACGAUGUAUAAAUACCGAACGUUAGUGUACAUAUCUAGUAACAUUCGAAGCAUAAAUAUUUCAUUUACAAAAUUAUGAAAAAAUUAAUUUAAUAAGUAGAAAAAAUUACGUAGUCAUGAUAUUACGUAAGAUAUAUAGAAAUAGAAAUAAAUGACCCAGAAAGAAAGCAUUUACAGAUUAUGCAACAUUUACCGUUUAUUGUGACGUCAAUAUUGUAACAAUUUAAGGACUGCCUAGACGUGUAUAAAUAGCCCAAGAAAAAAGGAAAUAAGAAAGUACUGUCCGACAAAAAAAAUAUGCUUAUGUAGUUUUUUUGGAAGAUACCGCGUCGACCUACUUUUUUACAUAAGUAUUCGAUAUAAAUGAGAUAAAACAUUGGAAUAUGCAGACAUAAUUAAAAUGGUUUUUGUAGACUACAAAAACGA